AAUAAUGGGAAAAAAAGAUUUACUUAAAAAUUUCCCCACCAUUUACUUUUUCCCAGCUUUGGCAGAAACAAUACUACCAUCAUGAAAUUCAAUUAUGCAAACUUCUUUUCCCUAUCAGAACAAACACAGGAUUUUUAAAAAGAUCUUUAUUCCAGUGAGAUGCAGGGUCAGACAUCUAACGUAUAGAACUGCAAGAAAUUAUUUUAUGUGACUAUGCUUGUGGUAACAUGUUACAGUCAACAGUAAACGGAUCCAAGGUCCUACAGAAACCCCUCAGUCACAGAGCUAAACACACAGGCCAGGCUCAGGAGACAGAGAAGCUGAUGGAAGACUGGGGGAGGCAGAGCAGUUACAGACCCAGCUACUGCUUCAUGUCAAGAACUUAACUGAGAAGAACAGUAAAAUGCCUGGACAUGCUAGGGUUAUCAUCUAUUUGGGGAAAUCCUAAGCCUUUGAAACACACGGCAAGGAAAAACUGACCUUACCUGAAAAAUACCUUACCCUGAAAAAUAAUGUAGCUGUGUUAAAAGAACCACAGGCAUGGAGAACUGUGAUGAGGUUUGCAGCUGGCAGGGGAGUAUGACAGUGCGGCCACAUGCGUCUCCAUCUUUCCUUUGGCAACCAAAUCGAGACUCACAUGAAACAACUCUGGGAGUUAGCUGAUGGCCCAAAAUGCAGAUCUGGCAUUCUUUUCCUCCCUACCCCCUUCUCAGCCGGUGAUUUGACAACAAAAACUGAAGCGGGUGUAUGUCCCAUUUCUAAGAACAUAUAUUUUCAAAAAAUUAUUAUUUAAUGAUGUGGCUAUUUUGAACUAUGAUUAAUAUAAGUACAUUUAAGAUAUAACAUUGGCAAGUUAGAAAACCACCAAGUAAGGCCAGAUGUGUAAACUGACUUGAUGUUUAAAUUUAAAACACCAGCAUCAGACUGAAAGGUCUGUUAUUCUAUGAGUCAAAUCACAGAGAAUUCAUACACAAAUUAUGCUUACCUGUUAUUCCCGGAACCUAGAAAGAAUUGCUUUUUAAAGUUAUCAUUAACUAAUCUAUACAUCAUCAAGAUAAGUGGAUUUUGUUAAAAAUAUUGAAUUAUAGAAUGAACUUUAGAUUUUAUGGUAGUCUUGACAACACUUGAGAAUCCAGUUAUGUUCUAGGAACUGUACUACAAAUUGUGUUAUGCUUUAAAUUAUUGUGAGAUAUGUAAAAUUGUUGCUAAAUUACUGUUAUAUUCUUUCCUGAUUUAGCUUUGUUCACUAAUAACUAGAUAUCCUACCCCCAUCAAUACUGUAGGAACUCUGUAGAACUCUGCCAUUUCAGUUUUAUUGGACAUUACCACGACUACUUCCAGAUCAUGGAGAAAGGAAUGAGCGAAGUUCAUUAAGGGGAACUAGCACAUAAUAUCAAGUAGAUAUUCAAAAUGCACUUCAGAGAAGAAACACGUUCCCACUACCCAGGCACCUACUAGCAUUCACUUAAUGAGUAUAAAAACCUGUGUAUGGUCCUUUCACAUUUGUUAGAGUUAAUAAUACUCUAUUAAUAAUAAUUAAUAAUAAUACUCUAGCUUUUCAACCAUUUACUAUCACCAUUUCACAGACAAGAAAACACAGUCCCAGGGAUCCCGAGCAGACCUGGGGCUCAAUACCCACCCCUUUCCAGACACCAACUCAUCUGGUAACAAGAACAAGUGCAAUUACAGAUCCUACCUGGGGAAAGGUGUAGAGUAGCCCACCCCAUGAAAUAAACAUAAAAUAAAAACAUAAAAAUAAAAAGAACCCAUGGCUUAUCAUUUAUCAGGUAUCUUAUUAUCUUUGGAAUAUCAUAGAAUAAAACCCUAUCAGAAUGCUGCCAUUGGCCUAUACAAUAAAAUUUUGUCCUGCUGCCUGGCAAAAGCUCUUCAAUUCUAACCAUUUAAGAGAAAACUAUGUCUUUUACAAGUUAGUGUUCUUUUUUACAGCGUAUUUUAAACAAAUUAUAUUAUGUAAAUUUUAUCUAGAAGUGUAUUAUUCUUUUUAAGCAAUUUUAUAAAAAGGCUUCUUGAGUUGGUUUUGGGUUUUUGUUUUGUUUGUUUAUUUGUUUUUAAAUCCUUAGGAGAGCCUGGAGUAGAUAAGCAAAAGUAAUGGUGUGCUAUCCACAAGAAUGGUGUCCUAGCUUCUAAUCCCCUCCUAAGAUAAAAUUUUCCUCUAAUGAGUCCUUCUAAAUGUAUGUUCCAGUUUCUUCAGCUGCAAAGCAUGACUAUUAUCAGAUAUUUGCUAUGAUCUUCUCUUCCUUUCACUGAUGCACAUUUGAACCAAUUUUACCCCCAGUCUAUGGCCCUUCACCACCGCCCCCUACCCCCCCAUCCUCCAGCCCUGCUAAGCUUAGCCUCUCUCCCAGAGCAGUGACA
Long non-coding RNA from Acinonyx jubatus (cheetah), 2376 nucleotides. RefSeq lists it as uncharacterized. The record is from RefSeq and is a predicted model, not a curated record. NCBI's taxonomy places the organism in Eukaryota, Metazoa, Chordata, Mammalia, Carnivora, Felidae. The transcript has 3 exons.